This 120-nucleotide ribosomal RNA is filed under the name uncultured bacterium. Its description in RNAcentral is "partial 16S ribosomal RNA". It matches the Rfam family "Bacterial small subunit ribosomal RNA", at positions 32 to 145 of the family's 1533-position model. The record is from RNAcentral.
AAUCAACGCUGGCGGCGUGCCUAACACAUGCAAGUCGAACGGGAAAACGGGGGCAACCCUGUGAGUACAGUGGCGUACGGGUGAGUAACACGUGACUAACCUACCUUCGAGUGGGGGAUA